ACUAAUUUGGCAGAUAAGUGCAUCAGAUUUAGAAUCUUAUAAUGUAAUAAAAUUACAAUUAGU
This 63-nucleotide transfer RNA is filed under the name Pedetontus silvestrii. RNAcentral describes it as "tRNA-Leu". Lineage: Eukaryota; Metazoa; Arthropoda; Insecta; Archaeognatha; Machilidae. The record is from RNAcentral.